RNAcentral lists this ribosomal RNA (1569 nucleotides) under human gut metagenome. RNAcentral's name for it is "bacterial LSU rRNA". It matches the Rfam family "Bacterial large subunit ribosomal RNA", at positions 1276 to 2925 of the family's 2925-position model. The record is from RNAcentral.
GAGUGUAUAGAAGUGAGAAUGCCGGAAUGAGUAGCGCGAAUGCAGUGAGAAUCUGCAUGGCCGAAAGCCUCAGGUUUCUGGAGGAAGGUUCGUCCGCUCCAGGUUAGUCGGGAGCUAAGGUGAGGCCUAACGGCGUAGCCGAUGCACAGACGGUAGAGAUUCCGUCACCACCAAAAGAGUUAAACACAGGGACACAUUUGAAGUCUCGGAGCCGGGUGUUGGUUCCGGUAGCGAUCGAGGGAAAUUAGUACCGAAGUCCGGGAUGGAAGAUGGCGAGAAAAGCUGUGUGUAUUUCUGCGGUGCCCGUACCGCAAACCGACACAGGUAGGUAGGAAGAAGAUUCUAAGGCCAACGGGAGAAGGGUUGUUAAGGAACUCGGCAAAUUGACCCCGUAACUUCGGGAGAAGGGGUGCUCUAGAGAUAGAGCCGCAGAGAAUCGGCCCAAGCAACUGUUUACCAAAAACACAGGUUUGUGCUAAAUCGAAAGAUGACGUAUACGAGCUGACGCCUGCCCGGUGCUGGAAGGUUAAGAGGAGAUGUGCAAGCAUUGAAUCGAAGCCCCAGUGAACGGCGGCCGUAACUAUAACGGUCCUAAGGUAGCGAAAUUCCUUGUCAGGUAAGUUCUGACCCGCAUGAAAGGCGUAAUGAUUUGGGCACUGUCUCGACAGCCCGCCCGGCGAAAUUGUAGUACCGGUGAAGAUGCCGGUUACCCGCGACAAGACGGAAAGACCCCAUGGAGCUUUACUGUAGCCUAAUAUUGGGUUUCGAUGUUGCAUGCACAGGAUAGAUGGGACACAGGGAAACAAGUGCUUUGGCAUUUGUGGAGUGGCCGUUGGGAUACCAUCCUUGCGAUAUUGGAAUUCUAACCUGCGCCUUUGAAUCAAGGCGGGGGACAUUGUUAGGUGGGCAGUUUGACUGGGGCGGUCGCCUCCUAAAGAGUAACGGAGGCGUUCAAAGGUUCGCUCAGCUUGAACGGAAAUCAAGCAAAAGAGUGCAAACGCAGAAGCGAGCCUAACUGCGAGACUGACGGGUCGAGCAGUAACGAAAGUUGGAGUUAGUGAUCCGGUGGUAUGUGAGUGGAAAUGCCAUCGCUCAACGGAUAAAAGUUACCCUGGGGAUAACAGGCUGAUCUCCCCCAAGAGUCCACAUCGACGGGGAGGUUUGGCACCUCGAUGUCGGCUCAUCGCAUCCUGGGGCUGUAUUCGGUCCCAAGGGUUUGGCUGUUCGCCAAUUAAAGCGGUACGCGAGCUGGGUUCAGAACGUCGUGAGACAGUUCGGUCCCUAUCUGUCGUGGGCGCAGGAUAUUUGAUGGGAGCUGUUCCUAGUACGAGAGGACCGGAGCGGACGUACCUCUGGCGCACCAGUUGUUCUGCCAAGGGCAUAGCUGGGCAACUAUGUACGGAUCGGAUAAACGCUGAAAGCAUCUAAGCGUGAAGCCGACCCAAAGAUAAGAUAUCCCAUUGUUUCAAACAAGUAAGACCCCUUGAAGACUACAAGGUUGAUAGGCACGAUGUGUAAGUGGAGUGAUCCAUUCAGCAAGCGUGUACUAAUAGGUCGAGGGCUUGACCA